RNAcentral lists this ribosomal RNA (301 nucleotides) under uncultured bacterium. Its description in RNAcentral is "partial 16S ribosomal RNA". It matches the Rfam family "Bacterial small subunit ribosomal RNA", at positions 509 to 807 of the family's 1533-position model. The record is from RNAcentral.
CAGUAGCCGCGGUAAUACAGAGGGUGCGAGCGUUAAUCGGAUUUACUGGGCGUAAAGCGUGCGUAGGCGGCUUCUUAAGUCGGAUGUGAAAUCCCUGAGCUUAACUUAGGAAUUGCAUUCGAUACUGGGAAGCUAGAGUAUGGGAGAGGAUGGUAGAAUUCCAGGUGUAGCGGUGAAAUGCGUAGAGAUCUGGAGGAAUGCCGAUGGCGAAGGCAGCCAUCUGGCCUAAUACUGACGCUGAGGUACGAAAGCAUGGGGAGCAAACAGGAUUAGAUACCCGUGUAGUCCCUGUCUCUUAUAC